UGCGAUGGUUCAGUGGUAGAACUUUUGCCUGCCGUGCAGCAGGCCGGGGGUUUGGUUCCCAGCCAAUGCAA
Non-coding RNA from Caranx melampygus (bluefin trevally), 71 nucleotides. The record is from the annotation of a GenBank genome assembly. NCBI's taxonomy places the organism in Eukaryota, Metazoa, Chordata, Actinopteri, Carangiformes, Carangidae.